GUCUAUAGAAAUGCCUUCAUUAUAAUCUCUGGGCGUAGAUACAGAUAAAAAUGAGAGUGAUUAAUAUUGAUACAGGAAAGUCAGCAUCGUCAACAUUAUUAUGAAUAAUAAGUACAGAUUAUUGAACUUUCAUUCCAAGGUCAGAGAUUUUGGCAAAUCUGACCCCUUACGGAAAUCCCACCCUGCACAUGGACAAUCUUUGAUAGAUCAAGGAGACACAUGUUGGAGAGUACAUAAACGAUUAACCUUAUGCUCACUCUUGCAUUAGAAUGCGACCUCACGACUUCCCACCAGUGGCAUCAUUCUUCAGAGAAAAAGGGAUGAUAGACACAGGAAGCAUCAAUGAGCUCGAGCAGAUCCAGUACAAGACAAUACACAGCUGGGGUUCCAAGGACACUGAAUUAGAAUCUAAAUUUCUUAUUUUAGGAAUAGGACUUGGUAGCCGAGAGUCAAAAAAGCAAACAUCACCACACAAAUGAAAUGGUGUGGCCAAUUAAGGAGUAACUAAGACGCCCUAUAAUCUGGUGAUAUUGAAUAGGCAUGAUGAAAGGGCUUGGAAAAUAUACAAACCCACCCAUUGAAAUGGCAUGAAUUCUAAGGUUUUCAGGACCUACAGAACCCCAAAUUACUGGCACUGAGUUUUUGAACAGUAUGGAGAAUACUGAAUUUAUAAAAAAGCAAACUUAGAGUUAACAGGUCAUAAACAUGUCGUGCCUCUGACAAAACAUAGAGGAGAGAUAUACUAAAAUAUGACCCAAUAGAAAAAAUUAAGAGUGGAACUUGUGGAGGUGUUCAGAAACCAAUAUGAAAAGAUUUAAUAUUUCACCAACUAGAUCCUAAAUUCCUCUAAGGUAAUCUUCCUAAUCUAAAGGAUAUGGAAUAGAAGGGGACUGUUGCUUGCUUUGUAACAAGCUGCAGGAACAGGGAGAAGUAAAAAAAAAAUUCUCAGUGCCUCAGUUUCCCUACCUGUAAAGUUAUCUUAAUGAUAUUAACUACAAGCCUAUCUCAAAAGGAUGCUUGGUCAAUUAAUGAGAAAGUAUGUGUGAAUGUUUUUAUCUCUUUGGGGUCCAGUUAUUACACUUAUUGCAGAUGCUUGAAUAUGAACUGUUGUGUCACUGCUUAUGUCUUUUGUGUGUAAUUAAUGUUAAUAAGGGCCAACUGGGAGUCAGUUCUGGGUGAACUGGUACUGAUUCCUUGUCUCCUCCCAUGAUGCCUAAUAGGUUUGGCGUUUUGAAAGAAAGCAAAGAGGGCAGCUAAAGAAAAGAAGUCUUCAUUCAUGAGGACUGGAAUUGGCAAGGGAGCAGAAUUUUCAGGUAGCUCAAGGAAGGGAGGUUUAGCUCAACUGAGGAAAGGAAGAGAGGCAAGUUGGAUUAAGACAAGGAGAGAUUUUCAGGCAGCUGAAUAAACUCAGCUCAGCCAUAACGGGAGAGAAGAUG
Monodelphis domestica (gray short-tailed opossum) is the source of this 1436-nucleotide long non-coding RNA. NCBI's taxonomy places the organism in Eukaryota, Metazoa, Chordata, Mammalia, Didelphimorphia, Didelphidae. The record is from Ensembl.